Molecule: ribosomal RNA, 501 nt
Filed under: uncultured bacterium
Lineage: Bacteria
Description: bacterial SSU rRNA
Rfam family: Bacterial small subunit ribosomal RNA
Source: RNAcentral
AACGAACGCUGGCGGCGUGCUUAACACAUGCAAGUCGAACGCGAAAGGGACCUCGGUCCUGAGUAGAGUGGCGCACGGGUGAGUAACGCGUAAGUUAUCUACCCCUCCAUCUGGAAUAACUCACCGAAAGGUGUGCUAAUACCGGAUACGUUGGAAACAAGAAAGGUGGCCUCUAUUUAUACGCUACCGUGGAGGGAUGAGCUUGCGUACCAUUAGCUAGUUGGUAGGGUAAUGGCCUACCAAGGCAACGAUGGUUAGCGGGUCUGAGAGGAUGAUCCGCCACACUGGAACUGGAACACGGACCAGACUCCUACGGGAGGCAGCAGUGAGGAAUAUUGCGCAAUGGGGGAAACCCUGACGCAGCGACGCCGCGUGGAUGAUGAAGGCCUUUGGGUCGUAAAAUCCUGUCAGAUGGAAAGAAAUGUACAUGUGCUAAUAUCACUUGUAUUUGACGGUACCAUCAAAGGAAGCACCGGCUAACUCCGUGCCAGCAGCCGCGGU